AUCUCAUUGAGACUUCUUAUUUAUAUAUAUAUAUAUAUGUGUGUGUGUGUGUGUGUGUGUGUGUAUAUAUACACACGUAAAUAU
RNAcentral lists this microRNA precursor (84 nucleotides) under Dasypus novemcinctus (nine-banded armadillo). RNAcentral describes it as "miRNA (ENSDNOG00000036768.1)". Lineage: Eukaryota; Metazoa; Chordata; Mammalia; Cingulata; Dasypodidae. The record is from RNAcentral.